RNAcentral lists this ribosomal RNA (251 nucleotides) under Enterovibrio calviensis FF-85. RNAcentral describes it as "partial 23S ribosomal RNA". It matches the Rfam family "Bacterial large subunit ribosomal RNA", at positions 526 to 779 of the family's 2925-position model. Lineage: Bacteria; Pseudomonadati; Pseudomonadota; Gammaproteobacteria; Vibrionales; Vibrionaceae. The record is from RNAcentral.
CCUGUGAGGGGAGUGAAAUAGAACCUGAAACCGUGUACGUACAAGCAGUGGGACCCACUUUGUUGGGUGACUGCGUACCUUUUGUAUAAUGGGUCAGCGACUUACUUUUAGUAGCAAGGUUAACCGUAUAGGGGAGCCGUAGGGAAACCGAGUCUUAACUGGGCGUUGCAGUUGCUAGGAGUAGACCCGAAACCGAGUGAUCUAGCCAUGGGCAGGUUGAAGAUUGAGUAACAUCAAUUGGAGGACCGAAC